CCUACGGGAGGCUGCAGUCGAGAAUCAUUCACAAUGGGGGAAACCCUGAUGGUGCGACGCCGCGUGGGGGAAUGAAGGUCUUCGGAUUGUAAACCCCUGUCAUGUGGGAGCAAAUUAAUAAGAUAGUACCCCAAGAGGAAGAGACGGCUAACUCUGUGCCAGCAGCCGCGGUAAUACAGAGGGCCCAAGCGUUGUUCGGAAUCACUGGGCGUAAAGCGUGCGUAGGCUGUUUCGUAAGACGGGUGUGAAAGGCGCGGGCUCAACCCGCGGACUGCACAUGAUACUGCGAGACUAGAGUAAUGGAGGGGGAACCAGAAUUCGCGGUGUAGCAGUGAAAGGCGUAGAGAUCGGGAGGAACACUCGUGGCGAAGGCGGGUUCCUGGACAUGAACUGACGCUGAGGCACGAAGGCCAGGGGAGCGAAAGGGAUUAGAUACCCGGGUAGUC
Molecule: ribosomal RNA, 446 nt
Filed under: uncultured bacterium
Lineage: Bacteria
Description: partial 16S ribosomal RNA
Rfam family: Bacterial small subunit ribosomal RNA
Source: RNAcentral